RNAcentral lists this ribosomal RNA (1448 nucleotides) under uncultured bacterium. RNAcentral's name for it is "bacterial SSU rRNA". It matches the Rfam family "Bacterial small subunit ribosomal RNA". The record is from RNAcentral.
GACGAACGCUUGCGGCGUGCCUAAGAAAUGCAAGUCGAACGGAUCACCUUCGGGUGGUUAGUGGCGAACGGUCGCGUAACACGUAGGCAACCUGCCUCGAAGUGGGGGACAACAGCCCGAAAGGGCUGCUAAUACCGCAUGUGAUUCUUUUAAGGCAUCUUAUUAGAAUCAAAGCCAGUUUACUGGCGCUUUGAGAUGGGCUUGCGGCCUAUCAGCUUGUUGGUGAGGUAAUGGCUUACCAAGGCGAUGACGGGUAGCUGGUCUGAGAGGACGAUCAGCCGGAUUGGGACUGAGAUACGGCCCAGACUCCUACGGGGGGCAGCAAUUAGGAAUCUUGCACAAUGAAGGAAACCCUGAUGCAGCGACGCCGCGUGCGGGAUGAAGGUAUUCGUAUCGUAAACCGCUUUUAUCGGGGAAGAAGAAUGUGACGGUACCCGAUGAAUAAGCCCCGGCUAACUACGUGCCAGCAGCCGCGGUAAUACGUAGGGGGCGAGCGUUGUCCGAAGUCACUGGGCGUAAAGCGCGUGUAGACGGUCGCUUAAGUUUGGGGUGAAAGGUUCAGCGCUCAACGCGAACAGUGCCUUGAAAACUGGGUGACUUGAGUUUGGGAGAGGGUAGCGGAAUUCCUGGUGUAGCGGUGAAAUGCGUAGAUAUCAGGAGGAACACCGAUGGCGAAGGCAGCUACCUGGCCUAAAACUGACGCUGAGAUGCGAAAGCGUGGGGAGCGAACGGGAUUAGAUACCCCGGUAGUCCACGCCGUAAACGAUGAGUGCUAGGUGUUCGGGGUAUCGACCCCCCGUGUGCCGUCGCUAACGCAGUAAGCACUCCGCCUGGGGAGUACGGCCGCAAGGUUGAAACUCAAUGGAAUUGACGGGGGCCCGCACAAGCGGUGGAGCAUGUGGUUUAAUUCGUCACUAACCGAAGAACCUUACCCAGGCUUGACAUCGAGGGUAAAGCUAUGAAAGUAGCUCCCCGACGCAAGUCGGCCCAAAGACAGGUGUUGCAUGGCUGUCGUCAGCUCGUGUCGUGAGAUGUUGGGUUAAGUCCCGCAACGAGCGCAACCCUCACCGUAUGUUGGCAGCGUAAAGUCGGCAACUCUUACGGAACUGCCCGUGCAAGCGGGAGGAAGGUGGGGAUGACGUCAAGUCGGCAUGGCCCUUACGCCUGGGGCUACACACAUGCUACAAUGGACGGCGACAAAGGGGUGCCAACUCGUGAGAGUGAGCCGAUCUCAAAAAUCCGUCCUCAGUUCGGAUUGCAGGCUGCAACUCGCCUGCAUGAAGCUGGAAUCGCUAGUAACCGCAGGUCAGCUAAACUGCGGUGAAUACGUUCCCGGGCCUUGUACACACCGCCCGUCAAGUCACCUGAAUUGUCUGCACCCGAAGCCAGCGGCCUAACUCGCAAGAGAGGGAGUUGUCUAAGGUGUGGGGAGUAAGGGGGACUAAGUC